UACGGAGGGGGCUAGCGUUGUUCGGAAUUACUGGGCGUAAAGCGCACGUAGGCGGCUUUGUAAGUUAGAGGUGAAAGCCCGGGGCUCAACCCCGGAAUUGCCUUUAAGACUGCAUCGCUAGAAUUGUGGAGAGGUAAGUGGAAUUCCGAGUGUAGAGGUGAAAUUCGUAGAUAUGUGGAGGAACACCGAUGGCGAAGGCAGCCCCCUGGGUCAAGACUGACGCUCAUGCACGAAAGCGUGGGGAGCAAACAGG
This 253-nucleotide ribosomal RNA is filed under the name uncultured bacterium. RNAcentral describes it as "partial 16S ribosomal RNA". It matches the Rfam family "Bacterial small subunit ribosomal RNA", at positions 524 to 776 of the family's 1533-position model. The record is from RNAcentral.